GACAAUUUGGCCGAGUUGGUCUAAGGCGCCAGAUUAAGGUUCUGGUCUCUCCGGAGGCGUGGGUUCGAACCCCACAGUUGUCA
RNAcentral lists this transfer RNA (83 nucleotides) under Komagataella pastoris. RNAcentral's name for it is "tRNA-Leu". It matches the Rfam family "tRNA". From Rfam's summary of the family: Transfer RNA (tRNA) molecules are approximately 80 nucleotides in length. Their secondary structure includes four short double-helical elements and three loops (D, anti-codon, and T loops). RNAcentral also lists the same sequence under 4 other names. The record is from RNAcentral. Lineage: Eukaryota; Fungi; Ascomycota; Pichiomycetes; Pichiales; Pichiaceae.